Molecule: long non-coding RNA, 623 nt
Organism: Gadus macrocephalus (Pacific cod)
Lineage: Eukaryota; Metazoa; Chordata; Actinopteri; Gadiformes; Gadidae
Exons: 2
Source: RefSeq, a predicted model, not a curated record
CGUCUCUGCCACCAGUCGGUGAGUGUAAUUUGCUGACGGUCCCUAAAACAGGUAGCAGUCAGAACGUAAAUGACGUUGUUGCACAGACAUCGAUGGCGCCAACAUGUGUUUGUGAUUUUUCGCGAUACGGUGUCCUAAACCGUCCUCAACAUACUAAGCCCUAUGGAAGGGGAGAUUUGGAGGUACCUGGUCAGGUCUUUGUCAGCCUUCAAAUCCCAGAUGUGGAGACUGCAGGGAUACCUCACAGAGAAGACACUAAAGAGCCACCUCUCAUUCAUCGAGUGGACUCAUUGGUUUGCGAAUGACCACAAAGAUGCUCCCAUAGGCAGAUUGCUGCAUGGCAUUCACCACUUAUUCAAAUUGAAGAGGUUGAAGCAGUCUUCCUUGUGGUCACUUGCCAUAACACUGUCAUGUGUUUUAUGAAAACACCAUCAGUAACAUUUAAAUUGAGUUGAUGUGGACGGCUCUUUUUUUUGUCAGAUUUUUUCAGUGUUCAGUGCCUGUUUGUGAGAUAUGCAUUGUUUGAAAGAUAAGCCUUUGAUUUUGUUUAAUUUUAAUAUGCCUUUCAUCAACAGUGGUUUGGGGUUUUAUAACAACAAUUAAAGUGCUUAACUACUGGUGAA